GCCCUAGUAGCUCAGCAGGUAGAGCACAUGACUGUUAAUCAUGGGGUCGCAAGUUCGAGUCUUGCCUAGGGCG
Molecule: transfer RNA, 73 nt
Filed under: Candidatus Woesearchaeota archaeon
Lineage: Archaea; Nanobdellati; Candidatus Woesearchaeota
Description: tRNA-Asn
Rfam family: tRNA
About the family: Transfer RNA (tRNA) molecules are approximately 80 nucleotides in length. Their secondary structure includes four short double-helical elements and three loops (D, anti-codon, and T loops).
Source: RNAcentral